AGAACGAACGCUGGCGGCAUGCCUAAUACAUGCAAGUCGAACGAACACUUCGGUGUUAGUGGCGCACGGGUGCGUAACGCGUGGGAAUCUGCCCUUGGGUUCGGAAUAACAGUUGGAAACGACUGCUAAUACCGGAUGAUAUCGAAAGAUCAAAGAUUUAUCGCCCAGGGAUGAGCCCGCGUAGGAUUAGCUAGUUGGUGAGGUAAAGGCUCACCAAGGCGACGAUCCUUAGCUGGUCUGAGAGGAUGAUCAGCCACACUGGGACUGAGACACGGCCCAGACUCCGAGGGAGCAGCGAGGUAAGGAAUUAGUA
RNAcentral lists this ribosomal RNA (313 nucleotides) under uncultured soil bacterium. Its description in RNAcentral is "bacterial SSU rRNA". It matches the Rfam family "Bacterial small subunit ribosomal RNA", at positions 26 to 367 of the family's 1533-position model. The record is from RNAcentral.